UUUGGCCUACGGGGGGCAGCAGUGAGGAAUAUUGGUCAAUGGUCGGGAGACUGAACCAGCCACGCCGCGUGAGGGAUGAAGGUACAGAGUAUCGUAAACCUCUUUUGUCAGGGAACAAAGGCGGGGACGUGUCCCCGGAUGAGUGUACCUGAAGAAAAAGCAUCGGCUAACUCCGUGCCAGCAGCCGCGGUAAUACGGAGGAUGCGAGCGUUAUCCGGAUUUAUUGGGUUUAAAGGGUGCGCAGGCGGAAGAUCAAGUCAGCGGUAAAAUUGAGAGGCUCAACCUCUUCGAGCCGUUGAAACUGG
This 305-nucleotide ribosomal RNA is filed under the name uncultured bacterium. RNAcentral describes it as "bacterial SSU rRNA". It matches the Rfam family "Bacterial small subunit ribosomal RNA", at positions 333 to 636 of the family's 1533-position model. The record is from RNAcentral.